GUUCCGACGAGCGAGACGCCGGGUUCAGGCACACAUUCCUUUGCCUCGUCGCGCAGCGCCGUGAAAGCGGCGGGAGGACGAGGGAAGCGCUCAGCUCGGGAGCUGGGACUCGGGAAGAGUCGCGCAGCUUUAUUCUCAUGACGAUCCUUCAUGCUUGCAGUGACGGUUCUUCCCGAGAGCAGCAGUCAAACCCAGUUUGCAGCUUUUCCAACACAUGCAGAAAGAGGCAACUGCAACAGUCUCUUAACCCUACCCUGACUUCUCUUCCCUGCCUUCUCCAAAUCUUUCUUGAUACUACACUCAAGAGUGAUCACUCUAAAAUAAAAUAUACAUGUCAUCCUAUGAUACCUGCAGAAGACGGCAGAAACUGAGCUACAAAUUCUGAACCUCAUUCCUGUACAUGUAAUCUUUUUGCAAUGUGACUGUGCUGUGUAUGCCAACAGAAAGUGGAGUCUAGGGGAUCCCUGGGUGGCGCAGCGGUUUGGCGCCUGCCUUUGGCCCAGGGCGCGAUCCUGGAGACCCGGGAUCGAAUCCCACGUCGGGCUCCCAGUGCAUGGAGCCUGCUUCUCCCUCUGCCUAUAUCUCUGCCUCUCUCUCUGUGUGACUAUCAUAAAUAAAUAAAAAUUAAAAAAAAAAAAAAAAAAAAAAAAGAAAGUGGAGUCUAUUUCUCCAUAUCCCUGGAUCUGGGCUGGCUUUACAACUUCCUCUGACCAACAGAUGUCAGGUGAAGGGACAACAUGGACGUCUGAACCUAGCCUCCAGAGGCCUUCAAGACCACAUGAAAACACCUUCUAGACACAGGAGGAUGAAAGCAUAUGAAGUCCUCCCUACUAAGGCCACCUAGGCCAACCAGUGAACAGCUAUUACCAACUGCCUGACAGAGGAGCAAGGCCGUCUUAAACAACUUAAACAACAACUCCAUCAAGCUUGCAGAUGACUACAGAAGCACAAGUAACUGCAAACAAAUCCAGUGAAGAACCCCAAGCUGAGCUAGCCCAAACAACUGUCAUUAAUGGUUGCUGUUUUAAGGCCACUAAAUUUGGCUUUAUGUAGCAAUCCUUAAGUGAUGAAGUCCCCUCCUCUGCCCUCAUGUUUAAGUUUAAACUCUUAAAACUGUCUUGAGAUCCCUUUUGCAGUUCUCUAAUCUCAUCCCUCAGCCCACACAUACUUGAAAAUCAACACAGGGAAACUUCUCUAAAGUGGAGCCAAAAGGCCCUCGCUCCAGGGUGUGAACUCGUGAUUUUCCUAGCAUACUGAAGUUAGCUUGUAGAUGAAUAAAAGGCAUGGUCCCCAGUAUUGUGUUUAAAAGACUGUCUGUAUACUACCCAUCACAGGAAAUAUUAAACACUGAAUGGGGGGGCGGGGGCGCGCAGGUGGAGGGAAAGGGAGAGAGACCCUGAGAUGAUGAUCUGAGCUGAAACUAAGAGUCGGAUGCUCCACCAACUGAACCACCCAGUCACCUCUAUUUUAAAACAACUUAAAACCUACAGAAAAGUUGCAAAACCAGCACAGGGUUCUGGUAUAUCCUUCGCCAAACUUCCUCAAAUAUUAAUGUCUUUGAUAACUAUGGUACUAUUACCCAAACCUAGAAAUUAACAUUGCUAUACUACUUUAGCUAAUUUAUAUGUGUUAUAUGAAUGUCACCAUUUUCCCCACUAACGCUUUCUUUUUCCUGAUUUAGGAACUAACCCAGGAUUUAGCACUGCAUUUUGUUCUCAUGUUUUCUUGGAUUAUUCCAAUCUGAGAUAGCUACUAAGGCUUUUAUUUUUUACUUUCGUGAUCUUUACACUUUUGAGAACCACUGAUAUAUUCUUUACCAGUCAUUUGUAGAAUGCCCUUCAAUUUGAAUUUGUUUAAUACUCUCAUUAUUAGAUUGAGGAUAUGCAUUUUUAAUUUUUUCUUCAGCUAUAAUUCACAUUCCAUUCCAUUAGCCGUUUUCAAGUGUACAGGUCAAUGUUUCUUGGUAUAUUCACAGGUUGUAAAAUUACCACCAUUAUCUAGUUCUGGAAUAUUUUCAUUACCCCAAAAAGAAACCUAAUAUCCAUCAGCAGUCACUCCCCAUUCUCUCCUCACCCCAUUUCGUAGCAAUGACUAAUGUACUCUAUCUCUAUGGAUUUGUGUAUUCUGGAGUCAUAUUAAAUGGAAUUCACAAAUUGAAUCAUAUAAUAUGUUGCCUACUGUGCCUUGCUUCCUCCAUUUAGCAUGUUUUCAAGAAUCAUCCAUGUUCAUCAUUCAAUUUUUUUUUAAGAUUUUAUUUAUUUAUUCAUGAGACAGAAAGAGAGAAA
Canis lupus familiaris (dog) is the source of this 2285-nucleotide long non-coding RNA. RefSeq lists it as uncharacterized. The transcript is spliced from 3 exons. The record is from RefSeq and is a predicted model, not a curated record. Lineage: Eukaryota; Metazoa; Chordata; Mammalia; Carnivora; Canidae.